This 262-nucleotide ribosomal RNA is filed under the name uncultured bacterium. RNAcentral describes it as "partial 16S ribosomal RNA". It matches the Rfam family "Bacterial small subunit ribosomal RNA", at positions 793 to 1055 of the family's 1533-position model. The record is from RNAcentral.
GUCCACGCCCUAAACGAUGGUCACUAGACAUUGGCGAUAUACCGUUCAGUGUCUGAGCGAAAGCGUUAAGUGACCCACCUGGGGAGUACGCCGGCAACGGUGAAACUCAAAGGAAUUGGACGGGGGUCCGCACAAGCGGUGGAACAUGUGGUUUAAUUCGAUGAUACGCGAGGAACCUUACCUGGGUUAGAAUGCUGCUGGACCGCUCCUGAAAGGGGCUUUCUCUUCGGAGACCGGUAGCAAGGUGCUGCAUGGCUGUCGU